Molecule: ribosomal RNA, 791 nt
Filed under: uncultured bacterium
Lineage: Bacteria
Description: bacterial SSU rRNA
Rfam family: Bacterial small subunit ribosomal RNA
Source: RNAcentral
AGAGUUUGAUCCUGGCUCAGAGCGAACGUUAGCGGCGGGCCUAACACAUGCAAGUCGAACGAGAAAGUCCUUCGGGGCGAGUAUAGUGGCGCACGGGUGAGGAACGCGUAGGUAAUCUACCCUCCGGCGGGGGACAACAUUCCGAAAGGAAUGCUAAUACCGCAUAUGACCACGCUCACUACGGUGAAAGUGGUAAAAGGCGCCUCAAAGCGCCACCAGAGGAUGAGCCUGCGUCCCAUCAGCUUGUUGGUAAGGUAACGGCUUACCAAGGCUAAGACGGGUAGCUGGUCUGAGAGGAUGAUCAGCCACACUGGCACUGGAACACGGGCCAGACUCCUACGGGAGGCAGCAGUGAGGAAUAUUGGGCAAUGGGCGAAAGCCUGACCCAGCCACGCCGCGUGUGUGAUGAAGGCCUUCGGGUCGUAAAGCACUGUGGGGAGAGACGAAACAGCGCAUCAGGAAAUGGUUGCGCCUUGACGGUACCUCCUUAGCAAGCACCGGCUAACUCUGUGCCAGCAGCCGCGGUAAUACAGAGGGUGCAAACGUUGCUCGGAUUUACUGGGCGUAAAGCGCGUGUAGGCGGACUCGCAAGUCGGUUGUGAAAUCCCUGGGCUCAACCUAGGAACUGCAUCCGAAACUGCUUGUCUUGAGUAAUGGAGAGGGUGGCGGAAUUCCCGGUGUAGAGGUGAAAUUCGUAGAUAUCGGGAGGAACAUCAGUGGCGAAGGCGGCCACCUGGACAUUUACUGACGCUGAGACGCGAAAGCGUGGGGAGCAAACAGGAUUAGAUACC